CACACACAUCAUGCUGGAACUGCUGGAUAGUGUUGUGUGGAUCGGUCAUUAUAUUUAAUACAAUUUCCUCUCCGCCACACCUGCACGCGUGGGAGAAAGGACCGUGGUGAAGUUAGUUUAAAGUUGGACGUCCGAUAGAUACCAACGUCAAGCUAACUUCACCACGGUACAAAGCGCCGUUCCUCCACCAAAUAAUUACGGUAAAGUGUGGAAUUUGCGAAACAUUGAUUGAGUAUUGAUCACGGCAUUGAACAACUGCUUUAUAUACAUCUCUAAAAUCAGGGACAUUUUAGUUAUUUAAAAGAUGCAUAUAGACUUUGUAUGGUUAAAUCAUUGUAUCUGUUGUUUUAUAUAGCCUACUGCAGUAUAUAAAUUGCAAAUAUCUACAUUAAAAUCCAACGUCGUUCUUCAUUGUUUGUGUAUCCCAGGUAUCUGGUACAUCUUCUUAAAUAUCAACAUAAAAAACCCAACAUGUCCCAGCUUCUUCCACUACUACUACUACCUAUAACCACUAACAGGGCAUGAAGGAAAUGAUCAGAGUAAUAAGAGGAACGAGGAAAUGUUCACAUUUGAAUAUUACAGCUGUUUUAUUGCCAUAAUCCUGUUCCACGACUGCCAAAAAAUCCAGAGCAGGUGAUUUUCAAUAAUGAGAGUAUUCUAGCAGUUAGCCAUUUGUCUAAGAGUGAUAGUAAAAUAAAUAAAUAAAUAAUGACAUUGAUUGUAAAGCACAGUUUGACUAAAGCCUGUCAAUAAGAAAGGAGGCGCAUCUUGAAGGAAACUUUCUCAGAUGAAACAAAGUCCAUUAUGUGAAAGGUGAAAGGGGAGAGGAAGGGAGAGGUGGAGGCGGAAACAAAUCCGGAAACGGAUGAUGCAUGGAUGUGAGGAAUGCUGCUGGUCAUACAGUGACCUAAUGAAUUAUGACGAGUGCAUCCAGCAAAGAAUCUCGGACCUAACUGACAAAGGGAAAAGACGUCUAAAUGGAAGCUGCCGUCUCUCCCGGCCCGAGCAAGCAGCUCCUCGGCAGCAGCUCGACUCAGGUCCCGGUGAUACCACAUCGGCGGUGCGGGCCCCAACGGAGAAACCCCACCACCUCCUCCACCACCCCCGGCCAUGACCACAGCCCUUCAAACCGGGUUUAACUCAAGCUGCUUCCAGACUUCUCCGAAAACCUCCCAGCCCUCCUCCUCCAGACUACAGAAAUAAUCCAGUGAGUCGAGAGCCGAAAGACAAAGUAACUCGGCGUAAACGUUAUUCCGACGGAGGCUAGGAGGCGCGAGAGAACCGACGACGGGGCUACAAGUUUUACAUUUGUUAAAUUACGCUGCUUGUGGCAGUUUCCUCAGUUCCUGAAAGGCUCGUCACCCUCCUCUUUCGCUUCCCAGUCCCACGGAAAUCAGGGUAUGUAAAUCCACUCCGGAGACCGGGGAGCAACAGCGGGGAAGACCCGCGUCAAAGGCCGAGUGUCGCUAUAUACGACUUCCUGCUGGGCGUUUCAAAAUAAAACAGGCUGAUGAUAAAUUCA
Molecule: long non-coding RNA, 1522 nt
Organism: Micropterus salmoides (largemouth bass)
Lineage: Eukaryota; Metazoa; Chordata; Actinopteri; Centrarchiformes; Centrarchidae
Exons: 2
Source: RefSeq, a predicted model, not a curated record